Molecule: transfer RNA, 71 nt
Filed under: Loxodonta africana (African savanna elephant)
Lineage: Eukaryota; Metazoa; Chordata; Mammalia; Proboscidea; Elephantidae
Rfam family: tRNA
About the family: Transfer RNA (tRNA) molecules are approximately 80 nucleotides in length. Their secondary structure includes four short double-helical elements and three loops (D, anti-codon, and T loops).
Source: Rfam by way of RNAcentral
GCAAUGGUGGUUCAGUGGUAGAAUUCUUGCCUUUCGUUUGGGAGACCUGGGUUCAAUUCCCAGCCAAUCUA